UAAGACCAUAAACACACAGAGUUGGCUGGACAGGAAAGAAAACGAACAGACGGACAAAACAGACAGACAACUCAGGAGGACCGGUUCCUUUCUCUCCACAAGUCAACCCGUUCAUCUAGAACUCAGAUGGAGUUUGCCUGCAGUCAUGUAGUGUGUAACUGGAGACCAGAGAGUGUAGAGGCGAGGUCAGGUGAUGGGGGGAGCCCAGGUCUAGGUGAACCCCUCAGGCUGUCUGUCAAAGAGCACAUGUACGACAAUCGCAUCGCGGUCAUCUCCCGGUCAGAACCGGGUAUAAUGCCUCCAGCUCUGCCCCCUCGACAGUUUGGUUCUCAGAAGCCCCACCCCCAACCCACUGUUCUGCCUCCCCUGCCUUCCUCUCUUCCCUCCCUGCCUCCCCCUCUACCA
Long non-coding RNA from Salvelinus namaycush (lake trout), 405 nucleotides. RefSeq lists it as uncharacterized. The record is from RefSeq and is a predicted model, not a curated record. The transcript has 3 exons. Lineage: Eukaryota; Metazoa; Chordata; Actinopteri; Salmoniformes; Salmonidae.